Molecule: small RNA, 441 nt
Filed under: Histoplasma capsulatum
Lineage: Eukaryota; Fungi; Ascomycota; Eurotiomycetes; Onygenales; Ajellomycetaceae
Also listed under: 1 other name
Description: hypothetical RNA
Source: RNAcentral
GAUAUAGAAGAAUGCUGUAUUUCAAUGAAUCACUGAAGCAGAUACUGCUUUCAAGAAGUUGAAGUAUAUAUUCACAAUCAUUUCAAUGCUGCAAUUAUUCAAUUUGAAUAAGCAUACAAUUUUUGAAACAGAUGUUUCAGAUUAUGUGAUGAAUAAAGUACUGAUAUAAUACAAUAAUAAAGAUAUUCUACAACUCUGUAUCUUUAUCUCAAAGAAAAUAUCAUUCAUUAAAUAUAACUACAAGAUCUAUAACAAGAAGCUUCUGAUAAUCAUACAAUAUCUCAAAGAAUGAAAAUUCAAGCUCAUGAGUGUAGAGAAGUUCAAGAUUGUCACUGAUUAUAAGAAUCUAGAAUACUUCAUAAUUACUUAUAAGCUUACAGAAAGAUAUAUACACUGAUUACUGUUUCUUAGUUAUUUCUUAUUUAUAAUCUAUUAUCAAUC